UUUAAAAAAGUGGAUCUGUUUUCCAAGACAUUACAACAAAAGAGACAGCAACUUCCGUUUUGAUGCUUUUAAUUUGAUAUCCAAAGGAAGUCACAUGUCAAUUUCAUGACAGGAAGUUGACACAGUUGUUUAUCUUCCGUCAGCGGCGCCGGUGGAGUUGUAGCUAACGGAGGAAUAUAUCCGCCCAGUGCGUUGUUGGAAAGGAGUGACAGUCAAAGGCAAAAGAAGACAGAGAGGGCACCUUUAUCCUGGCUGCACGUGGGAGUGGUCACGCAGCUGGCCCAAGAGGUGCAAUCAGUGUGAGCCACAGGAAGUCAGAGGGAGGAGAGCCACAUGAGGCAGCAGCAGCUGCGUUUCACAGAGGAGAUCUCGAUCUUCGAGAGAGCAGGUCAGGAGAGGAUGGAGGGCGAGGAGGCUCCAAGCCACAGGCCCAGACUGGGCCCAGAACUGAGCUGGACGUACUCUACAAGCUGUCCCACAGACGGUAAGGGUGUUAUCCAAUUGAUCCAUGGGCAUCGGUGUAUUUCUGCAUCAUCAGAACUAAUUCUUGGCUUAAAUGUGGGUCUGAAAUUCCUCUGGAUUUUUAGGCUAACUGGAGCUCAGACGACAGUUUCAAACGUCUCG
Long non-coding RNA from Etheostoma spectabile (orangethroat darter), 624 nucleotides. RefSeq lists it as uncharacterized. NCBI's taxonomy places the organism in Eukaryota, Metazoa, Chordata, Actinopteri, Perciformes, Percidae. The record is from RefSeq and is a predicted model, not a curated record. The transcript has 3 exons.